AAGGCUUUAGCUUAAUUAAAGUGUCUGUUUUGCAUGCAGAAGAUGUGGGGUAGUGUCCUGCAAGUCUUA
This 69-nucleotide transfer RNA is filed under the name Channa argus (northern snakehead). It matches the Rfam family "tRNA". Rfam says of the family: Transfer RNA (tRNA) molecules are approximately 80 nucleotides in length. Their secondary structure includes four short double-helical elements and three loops (D, anti-codon, and T loops). Lineage: Eukaryota; Metazoa; Chordata; Actinopteri; Anabantiformes; Channidae. The record is from Rfam by way of RNAcentral. RNAcentral also lists the same sequence under 3 other names.